Molecule: ribosomal RNA, 489 nt
Filed under: uncultured bacterium
Lineage: Bacteria
Description: partial 16S ribosomal RNA
Rfam family: Bacterial small subunit ribosomal RNA
Source: RNAcentral
AGUGAACGCUGGCGGUAGGCCUAACACAUGCAAGUCGAACGGCAGCACAGUAAGAGCUUGCUCUUACGGGUGGCGAGUGGCGGACGGGUGAGGAAUACAUCGGAAUCUACUUUUUCGUGGGGGAUAACGUAGGGAAACUUACGCUAAUACCGCAUACGACCUACGGGUGAAAGCAGGGGAUCUUCGGACCUUGCGCGAUUGAAUGAGCCGAUGUCGGAUUAGCUAGUUGGCGGGGUAAAGGCCCACCAAGGCGACGAUCCGUAGCUGGUCUGAGAGGAUGAUCAGCCACACUGGAAAUGAGACACGGUCCAGACUCCUACGGGAGGCAGCAGUGGGGAAUAUUGGACAAUGGGCGGAAGCCUGAUCCAGCCAUACCGCGGGGGUGAAGAAGGCCUUCGGGUUGUAAAGCCCUUUUGUUGGGAAAGAAAAGCAGCAGGUUAAUACCCCGCUGUUCUGACGGUACCCAAAGAAUGAGCACCGGCUAACUUC